RNAcentral lists this ribosomal RNA (253 nucleotides) under uncultured bacterium. Its description in RNAcentral is "partial 16S ribosomal RNA". It matches the Rfam family "Bacterial small subunit ribosomal RNA", at positions 524 to 776 of the family's 1533-position model. The record is from RNAcentral.
UACGUAGGGGGCAAGCGUUGUCCGGAAUCAUUGGGCGUAAAGCGCGCGUAGGCGGCCCGGUAAGUCCGUUGUGAAAGUCAAAGGCUCAACCUUUGAACGCCGAUGGAUACUGCCGGGCUAGAGUCCGGAAGAGGCGAGUGGAAUUCCUGGUGUAGCGGUGGAAUGCGCAGAUAUCGGGAGGAACACCAAUGGCGAAGGCAGCUCGCUGGGACGGUACUGACGCUGAGACGCGAAAGCGUGGGGAGCAAACAGG